RNAcentral lists this ribosomal RNA (259 nucleotides) under uncultured prokaryote. RNAcentral describes it as "partial 16S ribosomal RNA". It matches the Rfam family "Bacterial small subunit ribosomal RNA", at positions 524 to 782 of the family's 1533-position model. The record is from RNAcentral.
UACGGAGGAUCCGAGCGUUAUCCGGAUUUACUGGGUGUAAAGGGCGCGUAGGCGGGUAGGCAAGUCAGAUGUGAAAUCCAUGGGCUCAACCCAUGAACUGCAUUUGAAACUGUUUAUCUUGAGUGUCGGAGAGGCAAGCGGAAUUCCGUGUGUAGCGGUGAAAUGCGUAGAUAUACGGAGGAACACCAGUGGCGAAGGCGGCUUGCUGGACGAUAACUGACGCUGAGGCGCGAAAGCGUGGGGAGCAAACAGGAUUAGA